RNAcentral lists this transfer RNA (72 nucleotides) under Phormidesmis priestleyi. Its description in RNAcentral is "tRNA-Val". It matches the Rfam family "tRNA". Rfam says of the family: Transfer RNA (tRNA) molecules are approximately 80 nucleotides in length. Their secondary structure includes four short double-helical elements and three loops (D, anti-codon, and T loops). Further hydrogen bonds mediate the characteristic L-shaped molecular structure. tRNAs have two regions of fundamental functional importance: the anti-codon, which is responsible for specific mRNA codon recognition, and the 3' end, to which the tRNAs corresponding amino acid is attached (by aminoacyl-tRNA synthetases). tRNAs cope with the degeneracy of the genetic code in two manners: having more than one tRNA (with a specific anti-codon) for a particular amino acid; and 'wobble' base-pairing, i.e. permitting non-standard base-pairing at the 3rd anti-codon position. Lineage: Bacteria; Bacillati; Cyanobacteriota; Cyanophyceae; Leptolyngbyales; Leptolyngbyaceae. RNAcentral also lists the same sequence under 4 other names. The record is from RNAcentral.
GGGGGUUUAGCUCAGUGGUAGAGCGCUUGCUCGACAAGCAAGAUGUCACUGGUUCAAGUCCAGUAACCCCCA